RNAcentral lists this long non-coding RNA (411 nucleotides) under Eucalyptus grandis. Its description in RNAcentral is "long non-coding RNA (EGRA_LNC003053)". The record is from RNAcentral. Lineage: Eukaryota; Viridiplantae; Streptophyta; Magnoliopsida; Myrtales; Myrtaceae.
UCAAUGGCUUCCCAUAAAGCUAGGGUUUCGGCCAUAAGGGGAGAAGAAGCUUUGAUCUCCUUAACCACUCCUUCCACCAACCUCCCUUCUGAAUCUCUGCACACACAAGCUAUGGAGUUCCUCAACAAACCAGGUUCGUGCGUCCCAUCUACAUUAAUCUUCCAAGCUCCUUCGUGUGGUGGAAUCCAUUGCUGAGGUGUUUCAAUUUCGUGGGUUUCAGAUCUGGUAUUUUCGUGGGUUUUCUGUCCAGCACCCCUCUGAUUCGGUCCUUCUUUGCGCCGAGAUCUUGGUUCCUCUCUUUCUUCUCUGCUCCGUGGACCGGCGUUGCCUCUGGUGGCCAACCCAACAAACCCCUGUUUCAGCUCACCGCUCGGUCGAAGACGCCUGUGCUCUGUUCCUUUCUCCGAUCGU